This 235-nucleotide ribosomal RNA is filed under the name uncultured bacterium. RNAcentral describes it as "partial 16S ribosomal RNA". It matches the Rfam family "Bacterial small subunit ribosomal RNA", at positions 102 to 334 of the family's 1533-position model. The record is from RNAcentral.
CCGACGGGUGAGUAACACGUAUCCAACCUGCCGUCUACUCUUGGACAGCCUUCUGAAAGGAAGAUUAACACAAGAUGGCAUCAUGAGUUCACAUGUUCACAUGAUUAAAGGUAUUCCGGUAGACGAUGGGGAUGCGUUCCAUUAGAUAGUAGGCGGGGUAACGGCCCACCUAGUCUUCGAUGGAUAGGGGUUCUGAGAGGAAGGUCCCCCACAUUGGAACUGAGACACGGUCCAA